This is a long non-coding RNA of Lycium barbarum (goji berry), 4422 nucleotides long. RefSeq lists it as uncharacterized. The transcript has 2 exons. Lineage: Eukaryota; Viridiplantae; Streptophyta; Magnoliopsida; Solanales; Solanaceae. The record is from RefSeq and is a predicted model, not a curated record.
CGAUCCCUACACACCUCUUCAACCAAACAAGAACUAACACUCCUCUCCUCUCCCUUUUCCAACCUCGUCGCCACCCCGCUUUACCCAUCAGACCAUCGGCUAAAGCCGAUUUCGGCGUGACUGACGCCGCCUCCCAUCAACCCCUGUCCCUUUAUCCCCUUUUCUUCAAGUGACAGAGCUUCGAACAGCUCGUCCAAAGUCGAAUCAGCCCCCAAAUCAAAAAGCACGCGAACAUCUUUGGGAUUCUAGACCGUUCUUCCAACAAUCCAUAGGGUAAAGGCUCGUUUCAGUCCGUUGGAGCAUAAAACCAUGGAGAAUCCAAUAAAUUCGGAGUCCCAACGAAUUUGUAACUUUCAAAUCCAUCUGAAAAGUUCUCGGCUGAGGAAGGACCACUUCGAGCGGAUUCGAAGACUCGACGACGACAAUAGCCUCAGUUCGCUGUCCCGGAGAAGGUCAGUCACCGCCCUCAUCUUUUGUUUCAUUUUAGUUUGUAGAAUUAAAUAUAGUCGCUCGAUUGUUUUAGUCGCUAGUUUCAAUUCACUUAGAUAAAACUGUUGUGCUGAUCUGUUUACCUUAAGUAUAUAUGUAAAAUGGUUAAAUAGGACUAAGAAUGCUUAGAGGAAUCAUCAAUUAGCUUGUAGAAUAUGUGGAUAAAUAUGUCGCUCAUCUGAAUUUCAUUUUAGAUGCUUGUGAGGGGGGUUAGUUUUACAUCAUGUGUAUUGAAAAAGGAUUUGCUAAAAUUGUGUUUUUUUUUCUAUAGAAAUUAGAAAUGUAGUCGUUGUUUAUCUGUGUUAGUUCAUCCUGUGUCUUACGGACCUGUUCUUGCUAAAAAAAAAAGGAAGGGGCAGACGAAAUGGUUACGUAAACUAAUAACACUUAAGAGUAAUAACUACGUUACUUAUCGACUACGUGAAUAAUUGUGCUGCUCGUUUAAAUCCUGUUUUAACCUUUCAGCAAGGCUGUUUGCCAAAAUUCAUCCUCAUAACUAAUUUUCAAUGAACUAGGACUACAUUCAUUUGUUGGUGUGUUCUGGAGAAACUCUCCUGCACAUGUUGUGUCCAUGACUGUUUUGUUUGUAUCUCGAGCAUGUUUGCUCUUUCCACUAGUGCCCUCUCUUCAUAAUAAUAAGCAUCAUAUACACCUUGAAGUUUGAACUAUAGGUAAGGAAUGUUAAUUGUUGAGUUUAAAUGAGAUUGAUGUCAUAAGAUUUCAUACAUGCUAACUGAAUCACUAUUUUCAUUAUAAUUUGUUUCAAACUAGUUACCAUAUUGUUUUCUUUUUCUGGAAGAGAUGUUAUUUCACAUCUGUUUUGUGCAUUAGAAGAACUUCAAAUGUUGUAAGGUUUUUAGUUUGGUUUGAACGUCAUUGUGAACUUUGGGUUCGUUACUGGUUAAAAUUUGAGGUUGCUAGUUUCAGGUAAGUUUUGAAUGAAAAAUGGGUCUGUUUACUUAUUUGCUUAUAUAGAAAUAACAUGAAUAUCUGUCUUAGAUUGGAAGGAACAGGCUAACUGUUGUUUCUGAAGAUUUUUGUCAUAAAUAUUGUUUUGAACAUUAAUAGAUUUUUUUUUCCUUCUAAUUUCCUAAAGUUAAGGUGUUAGAACAGUUGGAAGUUGUUGUUUAUAGCUGUUUCUGCUCCUCUCUUUGGGAUUCUGAUGGCUUAAUUUCUUGGAGUUUAAGAAUACUUAGAACUAAAAUGACUAAGGGCGUUUAGGAAGGAAACCACUGAUUUAUAUAAGUUUGCAUUAGUUGAAACUUGUUGUCGUUGGAACAACCUUAUCGCUUAUAAGUCUUUUACUUCAUUGCCCAAAAGAGGUUAGUGUUUUCACUCUCUGCUCUACUCUUUUAAAUCUGGAUUUUUGAGGGUGUUGAGAUGCAAGAAUAUGUUGCCAGUUAUUUUUUUUAGCCUAGUCUACAUGUCCUUUUGAAGAAAUAAGAUGCUCGAAUAAAUUAUUAAGAGACUCUGUCUCUCCUCUACUAGCAGAUAUCAUGCUCGUUAGAUAUUAAAAUGUGAAUGUGUGUUUUGUUUCGUGACCGUAGAAAUAGGACGUUUUACCUGCUUUUUAACAUGAGAAUAUGUUCACUGGUUAGUCUAUCCUAUUUUCAUGUCGCUAUUGUUACUCCAUUUGAAUAGAAAACAUGAGUUAAUUUACGGCUUUGUUAGUUUCCAUUUUAUUUCCUCCUGUCAUCUCCAUUGCAAAGUAUGAGUUAAUUAGCAUUUCCUGCACUUUUUUUUUUUUUUUUUUUCAUAUUUAGCCUUUCUUCAUUUCUCGCUAAAAGUCAGUUGGUUUAUUAGUCAAUUAGUGUGUGUUAAAAUCUGAGUGUUUAAAGUUCUUGUUUGAGCAGAAAUUCUCCUUCUUCUUUCUUAAUUUUUCCGGUUCUGUUUGGCUGUGUUGUUUUUAGCUAUUUUCCUAUUUAAGUUUUCUGCCUAUUUAAAUUCUGUGUGAGUAUGAGUUAAUGGACUCGAUUUCAUGUUUAUUAGCGUCGUUCUGAUUUUUGUAGGAAUUCAGCAUGAUUAAGUUUACAGGUUUAGAUGUUUAGCUUCCUUUAAAUUUGAGUGAAAAGCAUGAGUUUAUUUCCCUUUGCUGUUUAUUUUUUUUCCAGUAUGCUCAACUCGUUAGAAAAUGUUUGUUUGGUUAAAUACCAGCUUUGUAAUUGUUAAUGAAAUCCUCAUGCAUUCGUCGAUAAGUUUAUGUUAUGAGAUUUAGCUUAUGUUCAAGCUUAGAUUAGUAUGAGAUUGAGUAUUGCCUAAUGUUUCAGCCCGUUUUACUUCUUCCUUUGAGCAUUUUAGUUCCAAAAACAUGAAAUAUUACAAUGAGUGACUUUCUUUGUUCUCCAAGCAUGUUAGAGUUAUACAAACGUUAAUCGCUAUAUAGAUUUUUAUCAAGUUAUGUUUAAAAUUUCCAGUUUGAGUUUCCAGAAACAAAUGUUGCUCUCUUGAUGUAUUCACUAGCUUGCCUUUCUUUAAGUUAGUUCCCUGUUUCCUUUAUGUCUCAUGAACCAAAAGUUCAUUUUUGUGUAUAAUUCUCCAGUAAGCAUAAAGAGACUUUGGCUUAGUUGACUCGUUCCAAUUCAUUUGUGUUAGUUUUUUUUUUUUCCUAGUUCAUGCAUCAGUUUGCUCUUUAGUUUAAUAAAGUUUGCUUAGGGAGCUGUCAUAAUUCAACCAAUAGCUUACCCCCUUGUUAAGCGAAUGUUGGUGUUUGAUUCACUGUUCUUAUCUACUACAUCAGUUUCGUAUGUUAAUUGGUACAUGAGGAGUAAUGAAAACCAUGGAAACUUCUUCACUAUUUUCUGGCAUGUGUGAACUCUUUGAUAAUUUCCUCUCUUUCUGUUUGUAUACCUUUUCUUGUAUAAGUCCUAGAACUUGUUUGGAGUAAGAGCUUUUCUUUCUUUAUAUUCAAAGAGACCUUAGUCUUAAAAAUGGGAUAAUCUGCCAUGAUUUAGGAUCUUAGUCUCUUUCAGAUCUUAGUCUUAAACUUUGGCUAAAGUUCUUUGGAAGAAUUUCGUUUUGAAUUAUGACUGUAUCCACUUCAAGUUAUUUUAAGUGCAUUGAUUGACCUAGACUUGUGUGUUUUGCUGGAAAAAAAAAAAUCAUUCAUGUGUUCUUAAAAAAAAAUAAAAAAUUAUCCUGACUAUUGUAGUCUACUGUUACCUACUUUCUCUUAAAAACUUUAGAAUGAGUAGAGGAUUCGUUUGAGCAAAUGGGAUACUUUCCCUAAAUGGUUCGAAUUGUAUCGUUAGAGUAGCCUGAUAAUAAGUUUUACAGUUUACAUUUCUUUGAGGCAUGGAUGCUAGCUUGUUUCCCUAUUUAUGAACUUUGAAUAAGUAUGUGAUAUGUCUCUGAAUUUCUGUUGUUUGGAAGCACGACAGUAUUGUUUUGAACUUAAAUGAUGCUUAUUUCAUCUAAGAGGUUACGCCAUAUUUAGUUUGGAAAGCUAGAUAGAAGAGCUGAAUGUUUAAGUAACAAUUGGAACUGCAUUGAUCUUCUUUUAAAACUGAUUGUGGUAUUGCGUUUUGAGAAUAUGACACGAGAAAGCCUUGUCUUACAUUUGAUUCUUUUAUCUAGCUUUUAUUAAUUAAAGUCAUAUAGACUUCUUUUUCCUUGUUGAGAAUUGUUUCUAAUCCUUAUCUUUAUCUUUUUUUUUUUUUUUCAUGAGGAACCUUGGGAGCAUUUGGAGUUAUGGCAACUCCGGAUUCUGCCCAUAUCAGAGAACAGCCAGUAGCGGAUUUAAUUGCUCGUGUCUAGCAGUCCCCUACUUUCGCGUCUCGAGUUUCCGCUCUUCCUUUAUUCAAAAUUUUAAGCCUUCAUAUUGUUUGAUACAUGCUAUUUAUAUUAUUUGCCUAACACUCUUGUGAAUUUGUAUUUUUUGUAGUUUUGUUUUGAACUCGUAACUUGACUUAAGUAUGUUAGUAAGUUUAGUCAUUA